This 516-nucleotide ribosomal RNA is filed under the name uncultured bacterium. Its description in RNAcentral is "bacterial SSU rRNA". It matches the Rfam family "Bacterial small subunit ribosomal RNA", at positions 15 to 518 of the family's 1533-position model. The record is from RNAcentral.
GAUCUGGCUCAGGAUAAACGCUGGCGGCGUGCUUAACACAUGCAAGUCGAACGGAGUGGUUCUCCCGAAGACCUGAAGAGCUUGCUCGGAUGGAAUUCAUUGAAUCACUAGUGGCGGACGGGUGAGUAACGCGUGGGUAACCUGCCUCACACUGGGGGAUAGCAGUUGGAAACGACUGAUAAUACCGCAUAAGCGCACAGUACCGCAUGGUGCAGUGUGAAAAACUCCGGUGGUGUGAGAUGGACCCGCGUCUGAUUAGCUAGUUGGUGAGGUAACGGCCCACCAAGGCAACGAUCAGUAGCCGGCCUGAGAGGGUGUACGGCCACAUUGGGACUGAGACACGGCCCAAACUCCUACGGGAGGCAGUAGUGGGGAAUAUUGGACAAUGGGGGAAACCCUGAUCCCAGCGACGCCGCGUGAACGAAGAAGUAUCUCGGUAUGUAAAGUUCUAUCAGCAGGGAAGAUAAUGACGGUACCUGACUAAGAAGCACCGGCUAAAUACGUGCCAGCCGCGGC